AUAAUGGAGAGUUUGAUCCUGGCUCAGAACGAACGCUGGCGGCGGGUCUUAAACAUGCAAGUCGAACGGUGAAAAUGAGGCUUCGGCCGAAACACGAGUGGCGAACGGGUGAG
RNAcentral lists this ribosomal RNA (113 nucleotides) under Spirochaetia bacterium. RNAcentral describes it as "partial 16S ribosomal RNA". It matches the Rfam family "Bacterial small subunit ribosomal RNA", at positions 1 to 110 of the family's 1533-position model. The record is from RNAcentral. Lineage: Bacteria; Pseudomonadati; Spirochaetota; Spirochaetia.